RNAcentral lists this long non-coding RNA (5123 nucleotides) under Vitis vinifera (wine grape). RNAcentral describes it as "long non-coding RNA (VVIN_LNC005621)". The record is from RNAcentral. Lineage: Eukaryota; Viridiplantae; Streptophyta; Magnoliopsida; Vitales; Vitaceae.
AUGAUGGAGGUGGAGUUUGAUUCUGGGUUUGGUACAGUCUCCGGGAGAUUUUGUGGGUUGCAAGGUUAACAAAAUGAUUGUAGGGCCCCUGAGGUGUGGCUUGCUGGUAAAGGAGUUGUGGUGGGUGAGAUCCAGCGAUUUCGUGUAAGAGGAAGUUAUUGUCGAAAAAAUAAAGUACUAGCAGGAAAGAUUCAAAUUUGGUGUUCUAAUUAAGUCGGUGCAUACAUGUCUACAGGAGUUAAAUCUAGAUUUGAUUCAUGAAUGAACCUAUAUUAGAACAAUCUGGGGAAUUUAUUGGAGAGAUAGUCUAUUGUCAUGUUUGCCAUCUUGUUCCAUAUGUGAAGAGCAGUGGGGGUAGAUUUGGAGUCACAGGAAAUUGGCUCUUGAAAAUGUCUGAGAAAGAAUUACUUGUAAAUUGCCUGCAAAGACCCACAACAUAUCAGCAUGCUCUUGCUGAUCUUCUGUUGCAUGCCCCAAGUUUAUUAAUUAUGGAAUCUGAAGUAUGUUGUCAUAAAUGUUCUUUACUCAGUUGUUAUUGGAUGCUAAAGAUGUAUCUUAUGCUAGAAUUAGAUGCUAAAGCAAUUGUUUUGGUAGAGGCAGCAUUUCCCUGUUGGAGGUGAUCAGGAAGCUUCAUUAUCACAAUUCUUAUGCUUAUGACAGUUGGCUCUAGUUCAGAUAGAACAGAAAAAUAGAUGAACAAAUAAAUAAAAGGAAGAGGGGGAAAAAGAAUUACUUAGCUGUAAAAAGUGUCUUGACUCAUAUGUCAAGACAUGAUUAAAUAAACUAGUUUAUAUGGAUUUUCUUCGUAGCUUUACACCUUCUUCCGCUAGAGGCAAAGUGUGCAGGUUGAAGAAUGCUGUGUAUAUUUAACCAAAAAAAAAGGGAGAAGGAUUUCUGGAUUAAGACAAUUACCUAGGUCAUGUUUUGAGAGAUUUCAGAAAGUGUUAGUGCAAUUAAAAACAGGCAGAUGAGACUUUACAUUAAGCAUGUUUAAGGCAUAGUUUUAUCACUUAUUUUCUAUCCUGGUGAUAUUGUGAUGGCUGGGGAUGCUCCUGAGGAGAUCCACAGGCUGAAGUCUGGUGUAGCCAAAGAGCCUCUGAUAAAAUAGUUGGGAAACCUGAAGUACUUCCUUGCUAUCGAGUUACCCAGAGUGUCAAACUGAAAAGUCUAUCUUCAUUUGUUGAAGGCAGAAUAUUUUGAUUUUCUUUAUGAGACAUGAAUGUUAGGUUACGGUCCUACUGAUACUCCUAUUGAGGCAACCACAGGUGAGGAGAGGAUAGUGGGAGUGCUCUGUUGGAUGCUGUGAGACGCUAAUUGUUAGUAUGGAAGCAAUUGGUUGUCUUAUGUUAGGCUGUCAUUGCCUAUGCUGUGAGGUGUUAUGGGUUUAUUCAUGCACCUUACACCUUAAUCUUCCCUCUAGAAAUCAAUCUUCAGGAUUCUUUGAUCCCUGUCAUCUGUCACUGGAAGAGUUGUAUUUGGGAAACAAGGUUACCUGGGGUAGAGUAGCUUAUUGAUUCAGAUUAGGUAAGUUCAGUUGAUGAGAAUCUCGGUAUUGCUCAUUCUGUCAUAAUAAAGGAACUCUGUUGUUAUGAACCACUAUAAAAAAAAGUGAUUAGGGAGAAUAAGAAUCACAAUCAUAAGGCACAUAAAAUCUAUGUGGUUCAGAGUAUAACCUAUGUCCAUGGGUAAAGGUGGCAAGAAACUUUAAUUAUCGUGGAAAGAGAUUACAUCCUAGAGCUCUUUAUUUCCAAAGCCCCAAUUACAUUGGAAUACCCUCUUUCUGUAAAAAUUUCUCUUCCUCUGACUGUAUUCCCCCAUGACAUGUAUAUCUCUCUCUCUAUAUACAUAAGAAAACCUCCUUUUUAAGAAUCUCUUUGAGCCCCUUUAAAAAGAGACACUUUUCUGAUGCAUUUGCAGGAGGAAAACUUGUGACAAACAGUUUGUUGUUGCCAGAUCCAAUCUAGAAGCUGAAUCUGGGGUGUUGGGUGACUGAGUUUUUGAGCUCCUUCGAUUAAGAAUCAGUAUGGGGGAGUUGGGUUUUGAGUUUUUGAUAAUAAUGUAGCUAUUAUACUGUGUAAUCUAUUGUGUUGUGACUGAUUAAUAGAGUGUGAUAAAUUUAACCUAAUGUGGGCUGAUAAGCAUUUCAUCAAGGAGAAACUGAGCAUGGCUGAUUUUUUACUUGAUGCAUUCCAAUGGGAAAACUACUAAAUAUUUUGAAGCAAGGAGUUUGCAAAUCGUAAUGCCACCCCUUUAAGUCGGUGCAUAAAUAUCACAAAUCAAACUUAUUUAGAAUAGUACGAGUUACACACACUCGUAUGUUUCUAUUAAUCAGAAUUGUCGUGAGAAUAUUCAUAAUAAUAGCUUGUAUUAAGGUUCUUUUUUCAUAUCACAUUAUGGACUCUUUUAUUAUCAUUGGUUAGUUAGUGAGAGGAGGUGGGACUCUUUCAGAUAUGCUCACCAAAUGAAGGUGAUGAUAGUUUGUUAGAUUAGAAGAGGAGAUGGGAUUGGUGUUUAUAUCAAUAAGCAACAAAGCAUGUCACUUAGUGAAGAGGGGAGUCUUGGUUGGUAUUGCCUUUAAGGGCCAUUUUUCCCUCUUUAGCAUUAAGGUUUUCUGUUUAUUUUUAUUUAUUUUUGGUAUGCUUUUUGUAUACUCAUAUUUUGGGGUUUUCCCACUUUUAGAAGGGUUACUCUUUUUAUCAUUCCAUAAUGUUGUUUAUUUUCUUAUAAAAGAAUUGGGUGAAUUAUUCUCCACUUCCUUGAGGUAUGCCCUAGUUAUACUAACUACUCCUCUAUUAUUUGAUUUUAGGGUGAGCUCCUAUUUUUGACUUUGUCGCCUAUGGUUCUUAAUGGGGAAUGAAAAGACAAAAAUCCCUUUAAAUGAGCACCUGAGUACGAUAUUUGACCAUAUUUCUCUACUAAAUCAUAACUUACUUUUUCCUUUUCUCCCCAAAAUCAUAAACCCAAAUCAUCCAUUGUGAAUCUGAAAACCCUAAAUCCCUUAAAACCCUUAGCUAAUCAACUAUUCCAAGUAAAACAAUUUAACCUAAAAAUUUUCCUUCAGUUUUUUUUAAUAUUAUUUUAAAAAUAUUUUUAUUUAUGGAGAGACGAUAGUUUAAUUUGAAGUACUUUAAAAAAGAGAGAAAGAAAACAUUGUUGACCAUGAACCUAUUCAAUUCUGGGUUGUUGCACAACUAGAUCUACCCGUAGUAAGUGUUAAUUUGAUUGCUUGACAUAGGGCUUGGUUGAGGAUUAAAUUAUGAGAUUAAGGGCCUAAUUUGGAGCUUCAUCGAGGAUUGAUUUAAAGCUAGUUUGGUUGCUUCAUACAGGGUUAAUUUUGGAUUACAUUCUGAUAUUAGGAUCUUGAUUUGGGUUGUGGCUUAAGGAGGGUGAUAAAAACACCAAGUGUUUUCAUAGUAUGGCUAAUCCCUAUCAUAGAAGGAAACACAUUGGAGAAGGUUAAGGAUGGAUUGUAUUUGGUUUUGAAGGCAAUUGUUUUUGAAAUGAUAAUUGGAAGUCAAAUAUAGGUGGAGUUGCUUUCAAAUCUUUAGAUAGGGCUGAUUUGGAUGGUUUGGAGGGCCCUUUUCUGAAGAGGAAGUUCUUGCAAUUGUUUUUGGGCUAGAGGGUGAAUUAGGCUUUUGGGACAGAUUGAUUCUUUUUGGCAUUUUGGCAAAAUUGUUGGAAAUUUAGUCAAGGGUGAGGUGAUAAGCCUUUUAGGGAGUUUCAUGGGACAUGUAAUUUUGAGAAGUUUAGUUGCUACAUUUUUAUGUUUGUUGGGGAAAGGGAAGAUUUAGGAGAUUUUAAACCUACUAUUUUGAUUGGAAGUCUAUACAAGCUGAUAGUGAAAGUGUUGAUAAAUAGGUUGAAGAAAGUAUGGAAAAGGCGGUUUUUAGCUUCCAAAAUGACUUUGAGGAGGGGACAAAAUUUUAGAUAUGGUUUUUAUUGCUAAUGAGUAAUGAGGUCAUUGAUUCUAGAUUGAGAAUUUGUGAGAGAGUGGGGGAUGGUGAAGCUAUUGAUUUUAGAUUAAGAAUUCAUGCUAGGAUUUUCUUGACAAUGGUUACUAGUGGGAGAGCUAAGUUUUGGAAUGAUGUGUAGCAUGGAGACUCUUAGAUGUGUGUCUCUUUCACUUCUUUAUUUAGCAUUUCUAUGUCUUAAGGAGGCUUAGGUUGUUGAGUUUGGGAGGAGCCAAGCGUUCUAUGUAUUGAAGCCUUUGGCAUCUUUUACUCUCUUUCUCUCUCUUUUGGUCCUUUCUUGGGUGCUUCCUCAGUUUGUCAAAGAAGAACAAUUGAACGACAUGGUAGGUUCAUUGAGAAGAAGUGUAAGAUGACAUUUUGUGCUUGUUCUAGAUCAUUUGGUAGUAGCAAAAUUGAAAUAUAUUUGAAGACUUGAUUCAAUCUUUAAAAUGGAUUUUUUUUAGUUAUCUCUCUCUCAUUUUGUCACUGUGGACCCGCAUUUUUCACCUGCGUUCCCACUUUGUGAGAAACACGGGUCCACAAUCAUUUUUAUUUUUUAUUUUUUUAGUUUAUAUAUUUUUUCUCUAGAAAGUCUUUUGAUGUGAGUUCUUGGUCUUUGAUGGACUUCAUUGGUUGUUUAAGUCUAAGUUAGUGUGUUGUACAAUGUUUUUUUUUUCUCCUUUGCAGAUGUUCUUUCUGUGCAUCUUGUAUACUUGGGCUAUGCCCCUUCUUUUGUUAGGCACUUGUUUAGUAAACUCUUAUUUGUCUAUUAAAUAUAAGGGUUAAUUUAGGGCUGACAUGGUUCGAUAAAGAUAAGUUGGGUAUUUUAAAUUUUUUUUAUUUGAUUUCAUCUUUGAUAUUACUUUCCAUCCAUUAGUUAACAAGUGGAUGGCAAGAGAUGGUCAUGUAGUCAAACCCUAUGAGCUUGAUUUUCUGAAAUGAGAGAGAAGCUUCAUUGAUUUGUAUCUCAGGCGAGGGGCUGUAAUUUACCCAAAAAGGAGAAAAAAAUAUAUGAGUUCCAUUGCAUUUCUUCACUAAAUGCUUGGCGGUCAUUUUGAUUAGUUAUUUUUUUUAUGAGCUGAUGAUUUUGUUUUGAUUGUUGUUCAAUGUUUGAUUGGCAUUAUUUCAUUUGCAGAUAUUUGGCCCUCUAAUGGAUGGGUUUUUGAAGUUGGG